This 655-nucleotide ribosomal RNA is filed under the name uncultured Enterobacterales bacterium. RNAcentral describes it as "bacterial SSU rRNA". It matches the Rfam family "Bacterial small subunit ribosomal RNA", at positions 69 to 717 of the family's 1533-position model. Lineage: Bacteria; Pseudomonadati; Pseudomonadota; Gammaproteobacteria; Enterobacterales. The record is from RNAcentral.
CAGGAAGAAGCUUGCUUCUUUGCUGACGAGUGGCGGACGGGUGAGUAAUGUCUGGGAAACUGCCUGAUGGAGGGGGAUAACUACUGGAAACGGUAGCUAAUACCGCAUAACGUCGCAAGACCAAAGAGGGGGACCUUCGGGCCUCUUGCCAUCGGAUGUGCCCAGAUGGGAUUAGCUAGUAGGUGGGGUAACGGCUCACCUAGGCGACGAUCCCUAGCUGGUCUGAGAGGAUGACCAGCCACACUGGAACUGAGACACGGUCCAGACUCCUACGGGAGGCAGCAGUGGGGAAUAUUGCACAAUGGGCGCAAGCCUGAUGCAGCCAUGCCGCGUGUAUGAAGAAGGCCUUCGGGUUGUAAAGUACUUUCAGCGGGGAGGAAGGGAGUAAAGUUAAUACCUUUGCUCAUUGACGUUACCCGCAGAAGAAGCACCGGCUAACUCCGUGCCAGCAGCCGCGGUAAUACGGAGGGUGCAAGCGUUAAUCGGAAUUACUGGGCGUAAAGCGCACGCAGGCGGUUUGUUAAGUCAGAUGUGAAAUCCCCGGGCUCAACAUGGGAACUGCAUCUGAUACUGGCAAGCUUGAGUCUCGUAGAGGGGGGUAGAAUUCCAGGUGUAGCGGUGAAAUGCGUAGAGAUCUGGAGGAAUACCGGUGGCG